RNAcentral lists this transfer RNA (91 nucleotides) under Enterobacteriaceae bacterium. RNAcentral describes it as "tRNA-Ser". It matches the Rfam family "tRNA". From Rfam's summary of the family: Transfer RNA (tRNA) molecules are approximately 80 nucleotides in length. Lineage: Bacteria; Pseudomonadati; Pseudomonadota; Gammaproteobacteria; Enterobacterales; Enterobacteriaceae. The record is from RNAcentral.
GGAGAGAUGGCCGAGUGGUUGAAGGCGCUCCCCUGCUAAGGGAGUAUAGUUAAUAUUUUUACUAUCGUGGGUUCAAAUCCCACUCUCUCCG